This 256-nucleotide ribosomal RNA is filed under the name uncultured bacterium. RNAcentral describes it as "partial 16S ribosomal RNA". It matches the Rfam family "Bacterial small subunit ribosomal RNA", at positions 524 to 779 of the family's 1533-position model. The record is from RNAcentral.
UACGGGGGGGGCAAGCGUUGUUCGGAAUUACUGGGCGUAAAGGGCUCGUAGGCGGCCAACUAAGUCCGACGUGAAAUCCCCAGGCUUAACCUGGGAACUGCGUCGGAUACUGGAUGGCUUGAAUUCGGGAGAGGGAUGCAGAAUUCCAGGUGUAGCGGUGAAAUGCGUAGAUAUCUGGAGGAAUACCGGUGGCGAAGGCGGCAUCCUGGACCGACAUUGACGCUGAGGAGCGAAAGCUAGGGGAGCAAACGGGGAU